Long non-coding RNA from Drosophila montana, 1140 nucleotides. RefSeq lists it as uncharacterized. The record is from RefSeq and is a predicted model, not a curated record. NCBI's taxonomy places the organism in Eukaryota, Metazoa, Arthropoda, Insecta, Diptera, Drosophilidae. The transcript has 6 exons.
AGCUCACAGCAGGCGUCGCUUUGUGGCAUGCCAAAAAUAUUUCUAACAGAACACAAAAAUCAGCAAUAUUGUGCGUGCGUUUUUGUUGUUAGCGUCGCGCAAGCGCAAAUGUCAAUAAACUCAGCAUAAAAAGUAUUAAAACAAUCAAUACGCCAAGCCAAAACAGAUACCAAAAGAAGACGCGGCGCAGCGUGUGAAGUGAAGCCAAAGUCACAGCGCAAAAAACGAGAACGAACAACAGAAUGAAUCGCAAAACGAGCAAAAUGAACGGAACGUCGCGUGGAAUUUGCUGAAAUUGGCAAGAAACAAGCAGCGAGCAGGCAACAGCAAAUCGGCGCAGGUAAUUCAAAUCGAAGACAUGGAAAUUUUAUACGCUGCCUCUAAAAUUGUUGGCACAAAAUAUGUGGGUAACAGCGAAAAAAAAAAAAAAAACAAUAUACAAUAUAAAAAGGGUAGCUGUUUGGCUGCCGCCAGAUCUUGUUAUGUAAAAUGUGUAAUGCACAGUUAUCUGCAGUUAACAUUUGUGUCGGUGUGUGUCGUGCAUGUGCGUGUGUGUAUCAAGUGCACUUGUCGGGCAUCUCUUUGAAUGUGUUUAUCUAAUAACAACAAGCCAAAAGGGAAGAGAACAUGAACAUGAAAAUCGUGGACAAAAUGGCCUAGAGAAAAUAAAUAAACCAAGCAACAUCAACAACAACACAAGCUCAGCUUUUUUCAAUCAACCUGGCGACGACGACGACGACAUCGGCGCAGCAGAGCGCAGCGGCCGCGGCCGCGGUCGUUUGACUGAUAAAGAAGCAAAAGCUUGAAGUAUAAAUAUUAUAUACAGUGCAUACGUUUGAAUGAAUGUACAUAUGUAUGUAUUAACAAUGGCAGCGCUGGGACCGCGACGACUGCGGUGCUUAUUGUAAAUUAAAGUAAAGUAAAACACGAGAAAAUGGUAUUAAAAAGGAAAAUAAUUGCUCGGCUGCGAACCAGACCUGUGACCAGACUAUGCCACCCCCUAUAUCCAAAACACCACUACACCCAUGACUAAUGGUCAACAGCUGCUAAUUGGGCGCUUAGAAAUGAAACUUAACGGUACUGUUUAAUAACAUCUAACACGAGCUAUCAUUUAUUCAUGCAACAAUUUAUGGCGCUUUA